UGGCGGCGUGCCUAACACAUGCAAGUCGAACGAAGCAUUGGAGCAGAUCUCUUCGGAGUGACGCACCUAUGACUUAGUGGCGGACGGGUGAGUAACACGUGAGCAACCUGCCUCUCAGAGUGGAAUAACAGUUGGAAACGGCUGCUAAUACCACAUAACGUUUUUGUGCCGCAUGACACUUCAACCAAAGAUUUAUCGCUGAGAGAUGGGCUCGCGUCCGAUUAGGUAGAUGGUGGGGUAACGGCCUACCAUGCCGACGAUCGGUAGCCGGACUGAGAGGUUGAUCGGCCACAUUGGGACUGAGACACGGCCCAGACUCCUACGGGAGGCAGCAGUGGGGGAUAUUGCACAAUGGGCGCCAAGCCUGAUGCAGCAACGCCGCGUGCGGGAAGACGGCCUUCGGGUUGUAAACCGCUGUCCUUGGGGAAGAAACAAAUGACGGUACCCAAGAAGGAAGCCACGGCUAACUACGUGCCAGCCGCGGC
Molecule: ribosomal RNA, 485 nt
Filed under: uncultured bacterium
Lineage: Bacteria
Description: bacterial SSU rRNA
Rfam family: Bacterial small subunit ribosomal RNA
Source: RNAcentral